RNAcentral lists this ribosomal RNA (494 nucleotides) under uncultured bacterium. RNAcentral describes it as "partial 16S ribosomal RNA". It matches the Rfam family "Bacterial small subunit ribosomal RNA", at positions 28 to 507 of the family's 1533-position model. The record is from RNAcentral.
GACGAACGCUGGCGGCGUGCUUAACACAUGCAAGUCGAACGGAAAGGCCUCCUUUCCCUUGUGGAUUGCGGGUACUCGAGUGGCGAACGGGUGAGUAACACGUGAGUGAUCUGCCCCCAACUUGGGUAUAAGCCUGGGAAACUGGGUCUAAUUCCCGAUAGGACUGCAGGGUGGUGCCUGUGGUGGAAAACGAUUUUCUAGUGGUUGGGGAUGAGCUCGCGGCCUAUCAGCUUGUUGGUGGGGUAAUGGCCUACCAAGGCGGCGACGGGUAGCCGGCCUGAGAGGGUGGACGGCCACAUUGGGACUGAGAUACGGCCCAGACUCCUACGGGAGGCAGCAGUGGGGAAUAUUGCACAAUGGGCGGAAGCCUGAUGCAGCGACGCCGCGUGGGGGAUGACGGCCUUCGGGUUGUAAACUCCUUUCGACCGCGAGGAAGCCACCUGGUUGGAAGGGUGGUGACGGUAGUGGUAGAAGAAGCACCGGCUAACUACGUG